CUAUUUCAAAACCUGUGAAUUGAAACCCAGAGAUUUGCAACUUUAUUGGAUAUAAAUGUGUAAUGAAAUGAAAGCUGUUGAAUAUGUCGUCUAUUAAUCCAUCUAAAAAUGCCACUUGCAUUAUUGUUUUGUUAUCGGCUCUAGUUUGUUCUAAUUCUUAAUUUUUGUUGCUAUUUCAAGUCAAAUUAAAUUCCAUCAUGUCACACCAUUGGACAUGGCAAGAUUUUGUGUGAAUAGAUUGUUAUUAUGUGUUCCUAAUGAUUUUACACGAAACGUUUCUUUUGGUUAAGUUUCAUUUUGAUGGAACACUCAGAGUUUAAGAGUUUUUUGUUGUUAUUUUGACGGUUUAUAUGGUGAAGAUAAAUACCAUUUUGAGUAUUAAAGAUAUGAUAUACUUGACCGAUUCCGAUAAUCUGAACCAUCUGCUUAUUGCAAUAUGUUUGGAAAACAAAACCAUCAUCGUUAAACGUCAAUAAAUUUAUGAGUAUCAUAUCGUUAAUUAAACAAAAUUGAUUGCGGAACAUAUUGAAACUAUCUCGUUUCCCAGAAAUGAUAUGAUUAGAUAGCUAGACUAUCAAGCUUAUCAGGUAUAAUAUUUACAAUGAACAACAAAUAAAGGAAACUGAUUGAUGUUUUGAAUGAGGACUCCAUAAUGACCUUAAACCAAUCAAUUGGACCAGAUCAGAGUAAAAAAUAAACCCAUUGUUUUGCAAGUAAUGAAACAAUUGAGAAUGAAAAUAAUCAAAGGAUCUUUAUUGUUCAAGUCUUUGGCUAUAAUACAACUUCAGUUAUCGCAUAUAAACUUGAAGUUGCAGCUCAUAUGAAUUAAACUUUUGAUUAUUCAAAAUAGACAUAUGGAUUGAUGAAGGCGCCAUGAUUUUAAGUGUAAAUUUAAUUAAAUGAGACGGUAAAAUAUGAUUAUAAAACAGAUAAAAUACGAUAAACUCAGGAAUGGUGGUUUUGUUGAUGAAGCUGGAGCGAUGAUUCAGCCAAAAAUAAAAAUGGGAACUAGGUGAUGUUUCAAGGUAAAAUGUAACUUUAUGGACAAAUCUGGUGUUGAUGGAAUCAUGUUUUGUUGAAUUUUCAUUUUUGAAAAAAUAUUUGAAUUGAUUCUUAGCUUUAGAUUCUGGUUUUAACCCAAACUUUGCCCAUAAAAUUAGAUUACCUUUUGUUUGUUGAAGGCAUUUUAGGUUUUCAGGCUCAUCUCACUACCAAUGUUAAUUGUUGAUCAUCACUAAUCACCACAUUGUCCACAGGUUAAACAAUUACAUGUACAACAGGCAAUAUCAUAGAGACACCUGAGGAC
Long non-coding RNA from Tetranychus urticae (two-spotted spider mite), 1306 nucleotides. RefSeq lists it as uncharacterized. The record is from RefSeq and is a predicted model, not a curated record. Lineage: Eukaryota; Metazoa; Arthropoda; Arachnida; Trombidiformes; Tetranychidae.